AUUGAACGCUGGCGGCAUGCCUAACACAUGCAAGUCGAACGGCAGCACGGGGGCAACCCUGGUGGCGAGUGGCGGACGGGUGAGGAAUGCAUAGGAAUCUGCCCAGUUGUGGGGGAUAACGUAGGGAAACUUACGCUAAUACCGCAUACGACCUACGGGUGAAAGAGGGGGACCUUCGGGCCUCUCGCGAUUGGAUGAGCCUAUGCCGGAUUAGCUAGUUGGCGGGGUAAGAGCCCACCAAGGCGACGAUCCGUAGCUGGUCUGAGAGGAUGAUCAGCCACACUGGGACUGAGACACGGCCCAGACUCCUACGGGAGGCAGCAGUGAGGAAUCUUGGGCAAUGGGCGAAAGCCUGACCCAGCGACGCCGCGUGGAGGAAGAAGGUCUUCGGAUCGUAAACUCCUGUUCGGGGAGAAGAACAAGAGAGAAGUUAAUAGCUUCUCUCUCUGACGGUAUCCCCGGAGAAAGCUCCGGCUAAUUACGUGCCAGCAGCCGCGGU
Molecule: ribosomal RNA, 499 nt
Filed under: uncultured bacterium
Lineage: Bacteria
Description: bacterial SSU rRNA
Rfam family: Bacterial small subunit ribosomal RNA
Source: RNAcentral